GCCUGUAGAACCUGUACUCCCAGCUACUUGGGAGGCUGAAGCAGAAGGUUUGCUUGAGCUCAGGAGUUUGGGGCAUCCUGGGCAAUAUAGUGAGACUCCAUCACUU
Molecule: small RNA, 106 nt
Filed under: Marmota monax (woodchuck)
Lineage: Eukaryota; Metazoa; Chordata; Mammalia; Rodentia; Sciuridae
Source: RNAcentral